UACGUAGGUGGCAAGCGUUAUCCGGAAUUACUGGGCGUAAAGCGCACGCAGGCGGUCUUUUAAGUUUGACGUGAAAGCCCCCGGCUCAACUGGGGAGGGUCAUUCGAUACUGUUCGACUCGAAGGCAGGAGAGGGAAGUGGAAUUCCCGGUGUAGUGGUGAAAUGCGUAGAUAUCGGGAGGAACACCAGUGGCGAAGGCGACUUCCUGGCCUGUUCUUGACGCUGAGGCGCGAAAGCUAGGGGAGCAAACGGG
Molecule: ribosomal RNA, 253 nt
Filed under: uncultured bacterium
Lineage: Bacteria
Description: partial 16S ribosomal RNA
Rfam family: Bacterial small subunit ribosomal RNA
Source: RNAcentral